CCUCUAAGACGAGGAUAACGACUGGAAACGGUCGCUAAAACUGGAUAGGAUCAUUUGAGGCAUCUCGAAUGAUUUAAAGGGGCUUUCAAGCCACACUUAGAGAAAGGCCUGCGGCGCAUUAGCUAGUUGGUGGGGUAGAGGCCUACCAAGGCGAUGAUGCGUAGCCGGACUGAGAGGCGAACGGCCACAUUGGGACUGAGACACGGCCCAAACUCCUACGGGAGGCAGCAGUAGGGAAUUUUCGGCAAUGGGGGAAACCCUGACCGAGCAACGCCGCGUGAAUGAAGAACCGUAUUUCGGUAUGUAAAGUUCUUUUAUUAAGGAAGAAUAUCACGGAUAGGAAAUGAUCUGUGAGUGACGGUACUUAAUGAAUAAGCCCCGGCUAACUAUGUGCCAGCCGCAGC
Molecule: ribosomal RNA, 404 nt
Filed under: uncultured bacterium
Lineage: Bacteria
Description: bacterial SSU rRNA
Rfam family: Bacterial small subunit ribosomal RNA
Source: RNAcentral